GUUUUAAUAGUUUAAAUAAAACAUUGGUCUUGUAUACCAAAAUUAAGUUAUUAACUUUUAAAACA
RNAcentral lists this transfer RNA (65 nucleotides) under Gatzara nigrivena. RNAcentral describes it as "tRNA-Thr". It matches the Rfam family "tRNA". From Rfam's summary of the family: Transfer RNA (tRNA) molecules are approximately 80 nucleotides in length. RNAcentral also lists the same sequence under 1 other name. The record is from RNAcentral. Lineage: Eukaryota; Metazoa; Arthropoda; Insecta; Neuroptera; Myrmeleontidae.